ACUGGGGAGCAGAAGGAGAACC
This 22-nucleotide microRNA is filed under the name Pan troglodytes (chimpanzee). Its description in RNAcentral is "ptr-miR-4667". RNAcentral also lists the same sequence under 1 other name. The record is from miRBase by way of RNAcentral. Lineage: Eukaryota; Metazoa; Chordata; Mammalia; Primates; Hominidae.